UACGGGGGGUGCGAGCGUUGUCCGGAAUCACUGGGCGUAAAGGGCGCGUAGGUGGCGACCCAAGUCGAUGGUGAAAGCUCGCCGCUCAACGGCGAGUCGGCCACCGAUACUGGGUUGCUGGAGCACUGUAGAGGCUCAUGGAAUUCCGGGUGUAGCGGUGGAAUGCGUAGAGAUCCGGAAGAACACCGGUGGCGAAGGCGGCUCACUGGGUCAUUACUGACGCUGAGGCACGAAAGCGUGGGGAGCAAACAGG
Molecule: ribosomal RNA, 253 nt
Filed under: uncultured bacterium
Lineage: Bacteria
Description: partial 16S ribosomal RNA
Rfam family: Bacterial small subunit ribosomal RNA
Source: RNAcentral